AGAGUUUGAUCCUGGCUCAGAUUGAACGCUGGCGGAAUGCUUUACACAUGCAAGUCGAGCGGCAGCGCGGGGGCAACCCUGGCGGCGAGCGGCGAACGGGUGAGUAACAUAUCGGAACGUACCCUAUCGUGGGGGAUAACACAUCGAAAGAUGUGCUAAUACCGCAUACGACCUGAGGGUGAAAGCAGGGGAUCGCAAGACCUUGCGCGACAGGAGCGGCCGAUAUCGGAUUAGCUAGUUGGUGAGGUAAAGGCUCACCAAGGCGACGAUCCGUAGCUGGUCUGAGAGGACGACCAGCCACACUGGAACUGAGACACGGUCCAGACUCCUACGGGAGGCAGCAGUGGGGAAUUUUGGACAAUGGGGGCAACCCUGAUCCAGCCAUUCCGCGUGAGUGAAGAAGGCCUUCGGGUUGUAAAACUCUUUCGGCAGGAACGAAACGGUGAGCUCUAACAUAGCUUGCUAAUGACGGUACCUGAAGAAGAAGCACCGGCUAACUACGUGCCAGCAGCCGCGGUAAUACGUAGGGUGCGAGCGUUAAUCGGAAUUACUGGGCGUAAAGCGUGCGCAGGCGGCUCUAUAAGACAGAUGUGAAAUCCCCGGGCUUAACCUGGGAACUGCGUUUGUGACUGUAGGGCUAGAGUGUGGCAGAGGGGGGUGGAAUUCCACGUGUAGCAGUGAAAUGCGUAGAGAUGUGGAGGAACACCGAUGGCGAAGGCAGCCCCCUGGGUUAACACUGACGCUCAUGCACGAAAGCGUGGGUAGCAAACAGGAUUAGAUACCCUGGUAGUCCACGCCCUAAACGAUGCGAACUAGGUGUUGGAGAAGGAGACUUCUUUAGUACCGUAGCUAACGCGUGAAGUUCGCCGCCUGGGGAGUACGGUCGCAAGAUUAAAACUCAAAGGAAUUGACGG
RNAcentral lists this ribosomal RNA (914 nucleotides) under uncultured beta proteobacterium. Its description in RNAcentral is "bacterial SSU rRNA". It matches the Rfam family "Bacterial small subunit ribosomal RNA", at positions 8 to 916 of the family's 1533-position model. The record is from RNAcentral. Lineage: Bacteria; Pseudomonadati; Pseudomonadota; Betaproteobacteria.